CCGUGGGCGUUCAUGGAGGAUGGUACACCGGCCGCCGGCUCCGGCCGCCAGUCCUCUCAGGCCUCCUCCGUGGUAUCCUUCUCAACCUCCGCUGCUCCUAUCAUGAUUUGGAUGGAAAAUUGGAGGCCGGCCGUGUCCUUCUCCAACACAAAUUGAUGUAGUGCCCGACCCGAUUUGAUUGGCUGCUAUAAGAAGCAAGGGUCCUCGGCCGGAAUCUCCAUCAGGUUUUGCCCUUCGACCAUAAUCUCCAUCAUCCUGUCCAAAUUGCAAUUUUUGAACAAACAUCCAAUGUCGCCGCCAAGUUCGCCGGAGGAAGAAGCGCCAAGUUCGCCGGAGGAACAAGCGCCGAGUUCGCCGGAGGAACAAGAACGCCCGCCGAGUCCUGUGGUGGCUACACGAGAGGUAUGUAUCCCCUCGAAGCUACGCCACGGCGCGGUAGAGCCUGAAGUUCGUCAAAACUUGACCUAACCGUGACCGUCAUUGACGCCACCUUGCUGCCGCUGUUGCUGGAGAUGAGCUGAAUAUCAAGCUUUGGUUGCCUCUUUGCUUCCACUUCACUGCUCUUCGACUAUCUGUAAUUGUAAAACACCUAAUACGAUUCUUCAGCACUUGAUACUGGUGGUCAUGGUCUUCUUCUCUUACUGUUGCGAGACUUGGUUUUAGUUAGUAAUCUUGAGAUCAAGUGUACUCGUGGAUUGCUUAGAUGGAGGACCACUGUUGGUUUUGUACUUAGAUGCGAUUGUGAAUCAUGUACGGUUCAAUUCAGAUUCAUGUGGUAUUUUUCCUAAAUUUGUGCCUGCCUGAACAUUAUUACUAUUAAACUAUGAAUAAUGAUUUUUGCAACUGUAGGAGAAUUUCUUCGCCGCAUCACAAGAAAAACAAUUUGAAACAGAGAACUGUACUGAACCUUCUAAUUAUUGUAUGAACUUGCUUCACUUAAUUUGAACGGCAUAUUUUUCAGUAGAAUUAAGUGCCGGGUGCCACUUGAGAGAAUAAAAGAAUGAUCAGCUAUUUUUUUCACAGUUAUGAUUUAGUCAACAUUGAUGUCCGUCUGCAAAAAGCUUAUUCUGAUUUGGAGUUGAUUUUUUUUCAGGCCCUUAAGGUGAGUGAUGAACAUCCGUUGAGCCGUCCAAUGUUGCCUUUGGCAACUACACCAGAGGUGCCAAAGGCAUCCAAUCCAACUCAGGUGGAGGCCAAGGAGGUUCAGCUCUCGGACAUUGCACCAAUAAUGCUGGAUGAUACCGACGUGAAGACU
Molecule: long non-coding RNA, 1255 nt
Organism: Aegilops tauschii subsp. strangulata
Lineage: Eukaryota; Viridiplantae; Streptophyta; Magnoliopsida; Poales; Poaceae
Source: RefSeq, a predicted model, not a curated record